UUUUAAUCACUGCAAAAACAAAAACCCCUCUAUAACCUUUAGCUAUUGCUUUUCUUUGAAUGUGGUAUCCCUCAAAAAGUUAUUAAUAUGUUGAAACUUAAUACUCAUUAAGGUGGUAAUAAGAGGAGGGCCUUUUGGGAAGUGAUUAACUUGUGAGGACUCCACCCUUAUGAAUGGAUUAAUACCGGUAUAAAAGAGGCUUCAGAGAGUUUGCCCCUCUUGCCUUCCACCUGCCACUAUAUGAGGACACAGCAGCAAGGUGCCAUCUUGGAAGCAGAAAACAGCCCUCGCCAGACACCAACAUUGGUGGCUUCAGAAGUGAAUAGUCACACUGUUUUCCAAAGUGACUGCACCAUUUCAUAUUUCUACCAGCAACAUCAUCGUCUUCCUUUUACAGAUGAAGAAACUCAUAUCGUGGAAAAGUGAGGAUGAAAUCCUCUGACCACCCUACCUUUAAAGGUCCUUUAAAGAGAAAGAACUGACAGUGUAAGUGGAAAAAGAGCAAUUGGAAGUAGCAGGAGAGGGAAAAGCCAUUAUCAUACAACUGGUGGGAAGAAGGAAUGUCAAAAACAUCAGUGUGAAAAUAAUUGCAGCAAAAAGGAGGAAGGUGAUCUCUGGGCUCCCACUCCAACCCCCACUAUGCCCUCAUAACAGCUUCCAAUGCAAUGGAUAAGAAGUCAAUGAGUGACAAGAGUGGCUUUUUAGCCGACCCCACCCAUUCAAGGAAGGCUUAAGCCUUGAGUCAAAUCCUAGAGUGAGAAUUUCUUUUGUAUUUUCUGACUUUCU
Long non-coding RNA from Piliocolobus tephrosceles (Ugandan red Colobus), 786 nucleotides. RefSeq lists it as uncharacterized. The record is from RefSeq and is a predicted model, not a curated record. NCBI's taxonomy places the organism in Eukaryota, Metazoa, Chordata, Mammalia, Primates, Cercopithecidae. The transcript is spliced from 3 exons.